RNAcentral lists this ribosomal RNA (245 nucleotides) under uncultured bacterium. Its description in RNAcentral is "partial 16S ribosomal RNA". It matches the Rfam family "Bacterial small subunit ribosomal RNA", at positions 524 to 768 of the family's 1533-position model. The record is from RNAcentral.
UACGAAGGUGACGAGCGUUAUUCGGAGUUACUGGGCGUAAAGAGCGCGUAGGCGGUCUUUUAAGUCAGUUGUUAAAUCCCACGGCCUAACUGUGGAAAUGCAGCUGAUACUGGAAGACUAGAGGUUGAGAGAGAGAGACGGAAUUCUCGGAGUAGCGGUAAAAUGCGUAGAUCUCGAGAGGAACACCGAUGGCGAAGGCAGUUUCUUAGUUCAAUUCUGACGCUAAAGCGCGAAAGCGUGGGGAG